Non-coding RNA from Phrynosoma platyrhinos (Desert horned lizard), 72 nucleotides. NCBI's taxonomy places the organism in Eukaryota, Metazoa, Chordata, Lepidosauria, Squamata, Phrynosomatidae. The record is from the annotation of a GenBank genome assembly.
GACAGAGUGGUGUAGUGGUCUGAGCAUUAGACUAUGACUCUGGAGACCAGGAUUCAAAUCACUGCUUAGCUA